AGAACGAACGCUGGCGGCAGGCUUAACACAUGCAAGUCGAGCGCCCCGCAAGGGGAGCGGCAGACGGGAGAGUAACACGUGGGAACGUACCCUUCGGUUCGGAACAACACAGGGAAACUUGUGCUAAUACCGGAUAAGCCCUUACGGGGAAAGAUUUAUUGCCAAAGGAUCGGCCCGCGUCUGAUUAGCUUGUUGGUGAGGUAACGGCUCACCAAGGCUACGAUCAGUAGCUGGUCUGAGAGGAUGAUCAGCCUCGCUGGGACUGAGACACGGCCCAGACUCCUACGGGAGGCAGCAGUGGGGAAUAUUGGACAAUGGGCGCAAGCCUGAUCCAGCCAUGCCGCGUGGAUGAUGAAGGCCCUAGGGUUGUAAAGUCCUUUCGACGGGGAAGAUAAUGACGGUACCCGUAGAAGAAGCCCCGGCUAACUUCGUGCCAGCAGCCGC
Molecule: ribosomal RNA, 444 nt
Filed under: uncultured bacterium
Lineage: Bacteria
Description: SSU rRNA
Rfam family: Bacterial small subunit ribosomal RNA
Source: RNAcentral